RNAcentral lists this unclassified non-coding RNA (1927 nucleotides) under Actinia tenebrosa (Australian red waratah sea anemone). RNAcentral describes it as "galactosylceramide sulfotransferase-like, transcript variant X1". Lineage: Eukaryota; Metazoa; Cnidaria; Anthozoa; Actiniaria; Actiniidae. The record is from RNAcentral.
ACCAAAUAUUCAAGUAAACCAUUUGCAAGAUAUAUCUUAAAGACGCCAAUAAUCAUAACACAAAGACCGAUUUUUCUCCGUUUUGUUGUUGUAAAUAGUGCUAUGAAAUCUAGGAAUAAGAGUGUUCCUUGGUACAUUAUAGCUAUANCAAACCAAUACUUGUCAUGCCAACUUUGAAUCACACCAUUCAGAAUGUAUUUUUGGUUCUACUAAUCGUGUCUGGUGCUAUAACGUUGUGGCAAAUGUCUUCCAAAGGACAGAUUUCAUUUAUUCACUGGCAAACUCAUAUUUCAAGUGAAACAGAGGAGGACAGAGUAAUACGACAAGAAGAUAUGCCAGAAAAACCAACUUCUACAAAGUGUUCUCCCAUAAACAAAGUUCUCUUUCUUAAGACUCACAAAACCGGAAGCAGUACCGUUACUAACAUUAUCAAUCGCUAUGGCAUCAAAAAGGACUUGACUUUUGCUCUACCAAAAAACAAAAUAUCAUUUGGCUGGCCUAAACGGUUGAAAAUAGAAACAGUUGUACCGACGUAUCACAAACCAGAUCUUUUAUGCAACCAUGCGAGAUACAAUAGACUUUCCAUGCAUUUUCUUUUCCCAAAGGAAACCACCGCGUAUAUAACAAUCUUACGCGAUCCUGUGGCACAAUACGAAUCGGUUUUCAAUUACAUGAAGUUAUGGGAAGGGCUGAAUAUCCCAGGAUCGGACAGUAUGGAAAUACUGGAAAAAUAUCUUCAAAAUGUAUCGACAUUUCGUUCGGCAAGGAUGGAUAGCAAGUUGGCUUCUUGUCUGUUGAGAAAUCCCAUGUUCUUUGAUCUUGGUCUUGAUUUUGUAUACUUCCAAGAUAUGUCCGCUGUUUGGAAAUAUAUACAGUUUCUUGAGUCCGAAUUUACUCUGGUAAUGAUCAUGGAACAUUUUGAUGAAUCGGUCGUUUUGUUGAAAAGACUUCUGUGUUGGGAGUUAGAAGAUGUUGUAUACUUAAAGCAGAAUGAAAGACAGAACAAAGACAAGCGAAAUGUUUCAGAAAAACUCAAACGAAAUAUUCGAAGCUGGAACCAGGCAGAUGGAAUGCUUUAUCAAGCUUUUAAUAAAACUCUAUGGAAAAAGAUAGCCGCUCAGGGACCUGGAUUCUACGAAGAUUUGGCGCGCUUUCGCAAGCUUCAGAAAGAGUUGUUUGAGAAAUGCGUCAAGUCCUCAGCACCAGCCAAGGCAUAUUCAGGAAAAUAUGUGAAAGGAUAUAAACUGAAGGAUAACCUGCCUCCUGUGACCAAAAAAUAUUGUAGUGAUAUGAUCAAAAAUGAACUUUCCUUUAUGACAGACAAUAUGGAACGACAAAAGCAGAUGCUGAAUGUUUACAAUGAUCAAGGAGAUUUUAGUUACUUGUAUGAUUUGGAUAAUAACUGGGAUAGUGGAAAGGACUUUCUCCAUCAUCCAGAGCAGUGAGAAGCCAGCACCAAGCAUCAACCACAGGUAGCCCAAGGGCUGCAUAUACGAAUAUGAAAAAAAUGAGGGCUUCAUGUGGACAUCAAUGAACCACAGUUAGCCAAGAGAGGCUGAUAAGGCAUGCGAACAAAUCAUCUUUGGGAAGUAUCUAGACCACAGUUUGAUCCACGGUAACAUCUUCAAGGCCAAGAAUGCAAAGAGUGCCUCUUCUUUGGUGAGAAGAGAGCGGGAAACUUUGACUUUCGACAAAAGGUACACGCGUCUGCCGGAACUACCGAAAAUAUUUCCACACUAAACCCAAUUUUCACAAAGCUGUAUUUUUGGUCAGCGUUCGUGAAAUUCCCAGUCACUUAAAGCUAACUCAUUUUCCCUAUAUGGUCUUUAAGGAGUUUGAAUCGCGCGCAAUUUUAUUUUUUCCAAUUUCCGAUUUUUCUCUAUUUUCUUGCGUUGAAAACUUUGAUUUUAAUAAAAUAGACAUAAGU